UAAAUUGAAGCCAAAUGUUAAGGUACUUAGCUGUUAACUAAGACAUAGUGGGAUAAAAACCCACCAAUUUAG
This 72-nucleotide transfer RNA is filed under the name Wyulda squamicaudata. RNAcentral describes it as "tRNA-Asn". It matches the Rfam family "tRNA". From Rfam's summary of the family: Transfer RNA (tRNA) molecules are approximately 80 nucleotides in length. Lineage: Eukaryota; Metazoa; Chordata; Mammalia; Diprotodontia; Phalangeridae. The record is from RNAcentral.